Molecule: ribosomal RNA, 486 nt
Filed under: uncultured bacterium
Lineage: Bacteria
Description: partial 16S ribosomal RNA
Rfam family: Bacterial small subunit ribosomal RNA
Source: RNAcentral
AUUGAACGCUGGCGGCAUGCCUUACACAUGCAAGUCGAACGGCAGCACGGGUGCUUGCACCUGGUGGCGAGUGGCGAACGGGUGAGUAAUACAUCGGAACAUGUCCUGUAGUGGGGGAUAGCCCGGCGAAAGCCGGAUUAAUACCGCAUACGAACUACGGAAGAAAGCGGGGGACCUUCGGGCCUCGCGCUUUAGGGUUGGCCGAUGGCUGAUUAGCUAGUUGGUGGGGUAAAGGCCUACCAAGGCGACGAUCAGUAGCUGGUCUGAGAGGACGAUCAGCCACACUGGAACUGAGACACGGCCCAGACUCCUACGGGAGGCAGCAGUGGGGAAUUUUGGACAAUGGGCGAAAGCCUGAUCCAGCAAUGCCGCGUGUGUGAAGAAGGCCUUCGGGUUGUAAAGCACUUUUAUCCGGAAAGAAAUCCUUGGCCCUAAUACGGUCGGGGGAUGACGGUACCGGAAGAAUAAGCACCGGCUAACUACGUG